RNAcentral lists this ribosomal RNA (1069 nucleotides) under Pleosporaceae sp. RNAcentral's name for it is "SSU rRNA". It matches the Rfam family "Eukaryotic small subunit ribosomal RNA", at positions 551 to 1648 of the family's 1831-position model. The record is from RNAcentral. Lineage: Eukaryota; Fungi; Ascomycota; Dothideomycetes; Pleosporales; Pleosporaceae.
GAGGGCAAGUCUGGUGCCAGCAGCCGCGGUAAUUCCAGCUCCAAUAGCGUAUAUUAAAGUUGUUGCAGUUAAAAAGCUCGUAGUUGAAACUUGGGUCUGGCUGGCGGGUCCGCCUCACCGCGUGCACUCGUCCGGCCGGGCCUUCCUUCUGAAGAACCUCAUGCCCUUCACUGGGCGUGUUGGGGAAUCAGGACUUUUACUUUGAAAAAAUUAGAGUGUUCAAAGCAGGCCUUUGCUCGAAUACGUUAGCAUGGAAUAAUAAAAUAGGACGUGCGUUCCUAUUUUGUUGGUUUCUAGGAACGCCGUAAUGAUUAACAGGAACAGUCGGGGGCGUCAGUAUUCAGUUGUCAGAGGUGAAAUUCUUGGAUUUACUGAAGACUAACUACUGCGAAGGCAUUCGCCAAGGAUGUUUUCAUUAAUCAGUGAACGAAAGUUAGGGGAUCGAAGACGAUCAGAUACCGUCGUAGUCUUAACCGUAAACUAUGCCGACUAGGGAUCGGGCGAUGUUCUUUUUCUGACUCGCUCGGCACCUUACGAGAAAUCAAAGUUUUUGGGUUCUGGGGGGAUUAUGGUCGCAAGGCUGAAACUUAAAGAAAUUGACGGAAGGUCACCACCAGGCGUGGAGCCUGCGGCUUAAUUUGACUCAACACGGGGAAACUCACCAGGUUCAGAUGAAAUAAGGAUUGACAGAUUGAGAGCUCUUUCUUGAUUUUUCAGGUGGUGGUGCAUGGCCGUUCUUAGUUCGUGGGUUGACUUGUCUGCUUAAUUGCGAUAACGAGCGAGACCUUACUCUGCUAAAUAGCCAGGCUAGCUUUGGCUGGUCGCCGGCUUCUUAGAGAGACUAUCGACUCAAGUCGAUGGAAGUUUGAGGCAAUAACAGGUCUGUGAUGCCCUUAGAUAUUCUGGGCCGCACGCGCGCUACAAUGACAGAGCCAACGAGUUCAUCACCUUGGCCGAAAGGCCUGGGUAAUCUUGUUAAACUCUGUCGUGCUGGGGAUAGAGCAUUGCAAUUAUUGCUCUUCAACGAGGAAUGCCUAGUACGUGCAUGUCAUCAGCAUGCGCGGAUUAC